GGGUUUGUAGCUCAGUGGUAGAGCACUUGCCUAGCAUGUGUAAGGCCCUGGGUUUGAUUCUCAGCACCA
This 69-nucleotide transfer RNA is filed under the name Marmota marmota marmota (Alpine marmot). It matches the Rfam family "tRNA". From Rfam's summary of the family: Transfer RNA (tRNA) molecules are approximately 80 nucleotides in length. Their secondary structure includes four short double-helical elements and three loops (D, anti-codon, and T loops). Further hydrogen bonds mediate the characteristic L-shaped molecular structure. tRNAs have two regions of fundamental functional importance: the anti-codon, which is responsible for specific mRNA codon recognition, and the 3' end, to which the tRNAs corresponding amino acid is attached (by aminoacyl-tRNA synthetases). tRNAs cope with the degeneracy of the genetic code in two manners: having more than one tRNA (with a specific anti-codon) for a particular amino acid; and 'wobble' base-pairing, i.e. permitting non-standard base-pairing at the 3rd anti-codon position. RNAcentral also lists the same sequence under 3 other names. Lineage: Eukaryota; Metazoa; Chordata; Mammalia; Rodentia; Sciuridae. The record is from Rfam by way of RNAcentral.